AUGGCUGUCGUCAGCUCGUGUCGUGAGAUGUUGGGUUAAGUCCCGCAACGAGCGCAACCCCUACCCUUAAUUGCCAUCAGGUUAAGCUGGGCACUUUAGGGGGACUGCCGGUGACAAGCCGGAGGAAGGUGGGGAUGACGUCAAGUCCUCAUGGCCUUUAUGACCAGGGCUACACACGUGUUACAAUGGGAGUUACAGAGGGAAGCUAAACCGCGAGGUCAUGCCAAUCCCAGAAAAACUUUCUCAGUUCGGAUAGCAGUCUGCAACUCGACUGCUUGAAGCUGGAAUCGCUAGUAAUCGCGGAUCAGCACGCCGCGGUGAAUACGUUCCCGGGCCUUGUACACACCGCCCGUCACACCAUGGGAGCCGACAAGGGCAGAAGUCGCCGAGCUAACCUUCGGGAAGCAGGCGCCCAAGCUGUUGUUGACGACUGGGGUGAAGUCGUAACAAGGUAGCCGUAGGAGAACCUGCGGCUGGAUCACCUCCUUUCUAAGGACGACGGAGAUGCUUUAUCUCCGUAUAGUCAAAGUCGAAUCAGUCUCUCUGCUCUUCUCUCCCUUUUCUCCUGUAAUACCUAAGUUAGGCUUCUAGAGUAACGAAUACUUAUAUACGUUGCUGUGUAGGUAUAACUUCAAGUAGGGCCUGUAGCUCAGCUUGGUUAGAGCGCAUCCCUGAUAAGGAUGAGGCCGGUGGUUCAAGUCCACCCAGGCCCACCAGCUCAUUUUGGUUUUGUUUAUUUAUGAUUCAGCGUUGCUUGCCGUCAUGGUAAGUAGCUGGAAGUUCAAACUUCAAAGCCGGAAUCAAGUACCGGGGGAUUAGCUCAGCUGGUAGAGCGCCUGCUUUGCAAGCAGGAGGUCAGCGGUUCGACCCCGCUAUCCUCCACCACUAGUUUAUAGAACAGGGAUAGAUUAUUAUUUAAGGAUUUAUCAGGCAAAGCUCAUGAGUUGAUUUUUGCUUUAUAAAUCUUUUUUCUUAGACAAUAGAAUCGGAGGUUUUGGUGACCCAAUAACAGAUGUGAGGGUCUCCAAGGGUUGACGAUCUUGACUGUUAAAGUCAGGUAGUAAGGGCGCAGGGCGGAUGCCUUGGCUCUGGGAAGCGAUGAAGGACGUGGCUAGCUGCGAUAAGCCUCGGGGAAGAGCAAACAUCUUUUGAUCCGGGGAUUUCCGAAUGGGGAAACCCGG
RNAcentral lists this small RNA (1181 nucleotides) under uncultured bacterium. Its description in RNAcentral is "bacterial SSU rRNA". The stretch from base 1 to 489 matches the Rfam family "Bacterial small subunit ribosomal RNA", at positions 1045 to 1533 of the family's 1533-position model. The record is from RNAcentral.